GUCUAUUUUUGGCCUGUUGGCUAAGAUCAAGUGUAGUAUCUGUUCCUACCAAUUACUAUCAGAUAUAUGGCUCCUAUUCGAGAACCAUAUAUUGAUUGGAUUUUUCAGAAUGGGGGCAAUUUUUGAAGCUUGCAUCCAUGGAAUGCUUGGCUUUUGUUCAGAGUAUUGCGACACAAGCCCUUG
Molecule: small nuclear RNA, 183 nt
Organism: Hyla sarda
Lineage: Eukaryota; Metazoa; Chordata; Amphibia; Anura; Hylidae
Product: U2 spliceosomal RNA
Exons: 1
Source: RefSeq, a predicted model, not a curated record